RNAcentral lists this transfer RNA (75 nucleotides) under Paractinoplanes tereljensis. Its description in RNAcentral is "tRNA-Gln". It matches the Rfam family "tRNA". Rfam says of the family: Transfer RNA (tRNA) molecules are approximately 80 nucleotides in length. Their secondary structure includes four short double-helical elements and three loops (D, anti-codon, and T loops). The record is from RNAcentral. Lineage: Bacteria; Bacillati; Actinomycetota; Actinomycetes; Micromonosporales; Micromonosporaceae.
UCGGCUGUGGUGUAAUUGGCAACACAGAGGUCUUUGGAUCCUCUAUUUCAGGUUCGAGUCCUGGCAGCCGAGCCA